UUUAGAUAUGAAUGAAGCUUUUGGCAUCACUAUGCACAGGACAGCUGAUCUGAUUGUUGUAGCCAAGCCUCAUUUUCCCCAAGAAAAUUCACCAUCGAGCUAGGUCAAUAUUUUCCCUCUUGUCAUAUGAAUUCAUUUUGCUUCCCUGUAUGUAAUAAGCAGAAAAGAAGAGAGAGUAAAGGUUAAAAUUUAUGGAAGUUUUUUUUUUUUUUUUUUUUCUUGAUUUGAGUAUCCCUGGCAAGUGUAUAGAACUGGCACCCUGGUAAGUACUUAAAAAAUUAAUAUUCAAGAUACUAUUGACUCAGUAGGAACGUGUUACCUAAAAGUUGAUGAGCUCAAUCGUUGAGCUUGCACUACAACUUAAACCUGUACAAGGAGAAAAAGCUGUUUUUUAUAAAAGGAAAAUAAAAGAGUCUAAUGGGGUUUGCCAAGAGAGCUCGAACUGGAUUUUGGUUUACUCGUCCAACACUGACAGCAGGUCAAACCAACCCAACAUACGGCGAAGACAAUGAAUAAUAUACGUGAUAUAAGAUGGUUGCAUAGGAUGAGCAUGAUAUUUUUGAAACUCGUAAUUUGGCUAUAAGUGUUUGUCUUGAGUGUACGAUAUAUAGUUUUGAAGCUCGCAACAAAUGAACCAAAACU
Molecule: long non-coding RNA, 642 nt
Filed under: Citrus maxima (pomelo)
Lineage: Eukaryota; Viridiplantae; Streptophyta; Magnoliopsida; Sapindales; Rutaceae
Description: long non-coding RNA (CMAX_LNC002095)
Source: RNAcentral